AUAAACAGACUCAUGAAAGCAACCCAAAAGAUCGAAAGGAAAAGAUAGAAAGAGAAAGGCAUGUUAUUGGUCAAUUAGGGUUUGUCGAAGUUAAAGAAUGUAUUUGAUUUAAUGGCCUGAUUAACUUGUCAUUAUCGUGAAGGUUUACAAAUGUAGAAUAAAGGUUUAUCAGAAAGGAGCUCAAGACUAAAUUAAGCAUGAUCCUAGCUAACUCUUCUUGAUGCCAUGAACUAUACCUAGAGAAUAUUUCUUUUUUUAAUCUUACUUAUGAAAGAGAAGAGAAAAGCAUAUUAUUAUAUCUUGCAGAUCCUAGAACAAGUAAGCAAACAUGGCCAUGCCACAUAAGGGUUGUCUUGUGGAAAUUGACAACUAAAUAUAUAUAGUAUAUCAAUCAAAAUUAACAAUUCAACUUUGUCUUUGCAGGAAGAAACCAAGGGAAGGAAAGAAAAGAUAGCAAGCAGACAGAAGCUUGGACACCCUACAAGCAAAGAGAGCAACGCCUCUUAUUUUUCUCCUUCGAAUUUGGCUUAGUUUACACUAUGACCUUAAGUGCUAGCUUAACCCCUACUGCAAUGGCGUGCUUGAGAUGUUGCUCGGAUCGGAAAACCCAGGUACCACUUCAAGCCUAGGUUAUCCCACGAAAUCAAUCGAUCAAGUCAAAGGUCAACCCAUAUCUUCACAAUAUUGCUUCUAUCUUUGAUUAUUUCAUCAGUCUUUCAUCUCUCUCGUUUCUCUUCUUCCUCUGUCACAUCCAGUCAAAUUGAUGUAUACUCUCAUUUUGAUUGUGAUCUUGUACAUGGUGACUUCAAUGUGUAGGAACUGUGGCGUUCUAGAACUCUAAGCUAGGAACAAACAUGCAUUCCAAAGGGAUGGAAUAAGUAGUUCACCUUUUGAACUUGUGAUCUAAAAACGCCUUUUGAUAUCAAAAGACUAUACUUUUAUUGUUUAGGUUAACAUUUUAUACUCACAAUCAUUCAAUAUACUGAAUUUCCCUACGAUGAGGAUGAAACCUUUUAAAUUAACUGAAAUCUCACUUCCAUCCCAUUCAUUUGGUCUAAUCUAACCUCAAAAUUCAUGUUUCAUAAAAUUUUAGUAUAAAUCUCACUUCCAUCCCAUUCAUUUGAUAUCAAAUGACUAUACUCACUUUCAUCCCAGACCGGCACCAAAUUUUCAGGGACCGAGCCCAGACUGACCACUAACACACCGGGCUAGGCUAGCUGCUUCUGAACUUAGGGACCAGUGAAAUCCCAGACCGGCAAAAACCUUACCGGUCCCGACGUCUCGCCGGUCCUUCUCCACUCCGACCCAUGAAACUGCAAGGACUCGUCUAGUCGUUUCUCUCCGGCGAGAAACUUCAAGCCCUAGAUAAACAUAAGAGAGUUUAUAAGAGAUAUGUUUCAUUUACACUACUUAAUUGACAAAAGAAAUAAGAGAGUUUGGACAAGCGUUUCCAAUAAUAUUUUUUUCAUUAAUAUAAUCCAAAUGUCGACACAUGCUACACAAUAUGUUCUUAGAAAUACUGUAAUUGAAGGUUUGGAAAGAGGCUAAUGAACUGAGUUCAAUUCGCAAUGUGACUUGCCGGUGGGCAAGUCAUAACUUCAAAGAUCGGAAUGGGCAGCCCAAGUUGAUGAUCGAUUAAGGUUUGUUGCAUUUGACGUCAAAAAUGAGAGUACUUGACACACCAUUGAGGCCCGAGUGAUCAGCUAACACAACUUUCAAUCAAGAGACUAACAAGCAUGCAGGAGUGUGACAGUGGAAAGAUCCUUAGAUGAGCUUUUGAUGAAUGUUCCUUAUUGUUUGGAUGAUUGCAGAAAGGCGGAUGGAUAGUCCUUGCUCAUCAAAGAGUCGGACUCCUUGGUACUGAUGUUGCAGAAUGUAAUGGCGUCUGCAAUAUUGACUGUCUGAAGAUCAGUCCAGCAACCAAUUGAUUGUUAAGAGACCACACGAUUUUCAUGCAUAUGUAUGAGCUUUGGAUGCGACAAAGCUCAUAGUAUUUUUUCCUGACGAGUUUAGGAAUCCGAGAAUUGAUGUUUCGGUCACUGAAGAUCACCUUGAACUUUUCCAUGCAUAUUACUUCUUUCAAAAGAGUGACAACAGACUCUGGAAGCCAGCUCCAUCCAAAAAUCAAGGUCAACAUUACAUUCGCUCUCUACACCUACAUAAUUGUCAAUAUGACUGAACAUAUAUAUUCACUCUAUAUGUAGUGUGCUCACAAGACUCAGUUUUGGAUGAACCCCCUAUAAACUGCUGUGUUUUUGUAUUCAUCAAUUUACUUUGUUUAAAUGGUAGAAUAGCAGUAAGGAUCUAGGGUGCUUAGUUGCUUACACUAUAGACGCAUUUUAACUCCCCGACCCAAGACUUACUAUAGAGGAUAAAUCUCAUUUGUCGCAGGCCGGAGUCAAGACACCAUUCAAGUUGUGCAUUGAUUGCCUGGUUGGGUAACAAGCUAGACAUGCAAUUCAUGAAAAGAGAUUUUGGAUAACAUGAUAGUAGAGCUGCUAUCACAAAGUACUACUAGUGCACUUGUUUUGAAUAUGACUAGCUAGCUAGCUAAGUUUAUUCAAAGCCCUUCUCAUCUAGACACCUUAACAUGCACACGAAGCGGCUGCUAUGAACGCAGCCUCGAUCAAUAGUAUAAAGAUUAACCACAUGUUGUUUCUUGGAAGACCAAGACACAACUAAGCACAAACUCAUAACCUCAAGUACUCUUUAUUUCAUCAAAAUACCAUGCCUAAUCACUGCCUGUAUAAUCCAACAACUCAUCAUUGUCGAGCUCACUUCUUAUAAAGAACUCCAAGGUUAAUCGGCUCAUUCACCCUUCUCAUUUCUCUUGCAGCAUCAUACACUGAUUGCUCAUACCCCACCCUUUCUGCUUCAUAUUUUCCUUUCAUAAAGUCCGCCAAACUCGUCCUAACCUAUGCCCACUCUCGUGACUUUGUACGUCAGUGAUUUUGCAGCAACACUUCUCGCUUGACUGCGCAAGCCCACAUUUAUACCUAACAUCUUAGAGGCGUGGUCUUGUCCCAUGGCAAAAACUCACGCUGACACCUUGAACAGUUGAACCGAUGAUGAAUAUCUAAUGGCAUCAACAAUAUUGACAGUCUCGGAGAUCAGUCCAGCAACCAAAAGGUCGUUAAGAGCACAAGUUUUUCAGGCAUGCAUGAGUUUUGGAUGCUCAUACCUGCAUGAAAAUCUUGUGGAGUCUCUUAACAGCCAAUUGGUUGCUGGACUGAUCUCCAAAACGGUCAAUAUUGCAGAUGCCAUUACAUUAUGCAACAUCUCCGAGUUUAAGACAUGGGACAAGACAAAGCAUAUAAGAUUCGUGCGCUACGAGGAGAGCGGACUUAAUUAGUUGACUGAACAAUUAACCAAAUUAGCGGACUUAGUCUUGCCAGAAUUAAGAGGAUAUUUUUUUUGGCAAGAAUAAGGUUGCAGAAAACAAUUAACCAUCAGAGAAACACAGCAAAGAACAAGUUUAUAUAUAUGUAGUUGACUGAACACAUGCAACUAAAUAAAUUAAAAUGCAUAGAGAACCAAAGCACUAGAGAAGGUUAAUGACUGACGAGAUGGAACAACUUAGAUAUUAAUCAAGCAAAACUCCAGUUCAAG
This 3609-nucleotide long non-coding RNA is filed under the name Fragaria vesca (wild strawberry). RNAcentral's name for it is "long non-coding RNA (FVES_LNC003570)". The record is from RNAcentral. Lineage: Eukaryota; Viridiplantae; Streptophyta; Magnoliopsida; Rosales; Rosaceae.